This 505-nucleotide ribosomal RNA is filed under the name uncultured bacterium. RNAcentral describes it as "partial 16S ribosomal RNA". It matches the Rfam family "Bacterial small subunit ribosomal RNA", at positions 28 to 507 of the family's 1533-position model. The record is from RNAcentral.
GACGAACGCUGGCGGCGUGCCUAAUACAUGCAAGUAGAACGCACAGUUUAUACCGUAGCUUGCUACACCAUAGACUGUGAGUUGCGAACGGGUGAGUAACGCGUAGGUAACCUGCCUGGUAGCGGGGGAUAACUAUUGGAAACGAUAGCUAAUACCGCAUAAUAUUAAUUAUUGCAUGAUAAUUAAUUGAAAGGUGCAAUUGCACCACUACCAGAUGGACCUGCGUUGUAUUAGCUAGUAGGUGAGGUAACGGCUCACCUAGGCGACGAUACAUAGCCGACCUGAGAGGGUGAUCGGCCACACUGGGACUGAGACACGGCCCAGACUCCUACGGGAGGCAGCAGUAGGGAAUCUUCGGCAAUGGACGAAAGUCUGACCGAGCAACGCCGCGUGAGUGAAGAAGGGUGUCGGAUCGUAAAGCUCUGUUGUAAGAGAAGAACGGGUGUGAGAGUGGAAAGUUCACACUGUGACGGUAUCUUACCAGAAAGGGACGGCUAACUACGUG